GAUGAACGCUGGCGGCGUGCUUAACACAUGCAAGUCGAACGGAAAGGCUCCUGCUUGCAGGGGUACUCGAGUGGCGAACGGGUGAGUAACACGUGGGUGAUCUGCCCUGCACUUCGGGAUAAGCCUGGGAAACUGGGUCUAAUACCGGAUAGGACCACAUUUUGGAUGGUGUGGUGGAAAGUUUUUCGGUGUGGGAUGAGCUCGCGGCCUAUCAGCCUGUUGGUGGGGUAAUGGCCUACCAAGGCGUCGACGGGUAGCCGGCCUGAGAGGGUGUACGGCCACAUUGGGACUGAGAUACGGCCCAGACUCCUACGGGAGGCAGCAGUGGGGAAUAUUGCACAAUGGGCGCAAGCCUGAUGCAGCGACGCCGCGUGGGGGAUGACGGCCUUCGGGUUGUAAACUCCUUUCGCUAGGGACGAAGCGCAAGUGACGGUACCUGGAGAAGAGGCACCGGCUAACUACGUG
RNAcentral lists this ribosomal RNA (465 nucleotides) under uncultured bacterium. Its description in RNAcentral is "partial 16S ribosomal RNA". It matches the Rfam family "Bacterial small subunit ribosomal RNA", at positions 28 to 507 of the family's 1533-position model. The record is from RNAcentral.